Molecule: long non-coding RNA, 1440 nt
Organism: Oncorhynchus tshawytscha (Chinook salmon)
Lineage: Eukaryota; Metazoa; Chordata; Actinopteri; Salmoniformes; Salmonidae
Source: Ensembl
AAGCGUACAAACAAGAAAAACAUGAGCUAACUGCAUUCUGCUCAGACAAAGUUUAGCUUUUUUUUACCCCUCAAUUCAGAGAAAAAGGGUUUGGGGAGGGAUAAGGAGAGGGUAACGCAGCUACAGACUACUCCAGUGUCCAAGAGAGACAGAAGACAAGAUACAGGAAGAGAAGCAAGACAGAUUUUUUUUAUUUUUCUUAAUUAUUCAACAAUAAAAAUAACUAAAUCACACCAAUUUCCUUUAGUACUAUAUAUACUGCUUUGAAAAGCUUGAAGAAGGAGAGGAUAUAGAAGAAAUAUGGAGGGGACUUUUUGAGAUGGGCACUCAGGAUUACAAGAUGGAGUCUGUGAACAAAAGGCACUUUUUAGGGACAACCUUUAAGAUGCUCUGAUUCUAACACUAGAACACCAAACAAAUAUUUAGAAUAAUUUACACUGCGGAUUGGGAGUGGAAGGGGGAAGGGUUCACUUCUUUGAUUUAAUCCUGCUCUCAUCCUUGCUGUGCUCAAAAUAUACCUUAUACUCCCUCGCCUUGUUUGGGUUUGAGAUAGGAAUCAACUAAAUCUACUUCGCGUUACACCUCCCAUCUCUCCAAAUGCUAAUAAUCACUUUGUGGUUGAGCUAACACUUAGAAAAAUGGAUUCCAUUUCUGAUGCAUCUCCCAAAAUGGGGAAGAUCUUGUCUGUGUCCCAAACUUGAUUACUUCGGUUGGCCAGUUUUAAACAUGUCCACAGUUUAGAAAAUUGGAUGCAAGUUGCAAUUCAUCUGUUAAAUAGGUAAUGUUUUAGUCAGUUCUCUGGUGAUACUGACAUGGCCCAGAUGUCCAUUACGUCAGGCCUUUUCCACUAGUUCAUCAUCCCAUUGUCAGGAUAACCAUCUAAUCAAUCUAAAAAAAAAACGGUUCUCUUCCUGCUCUGGGAUAAAGGUUGAAGAAAAAUGCCUUUAUCACAACUUUUUCAUAUAAUGAACCCCUCCCCCCUUGGUGAAUACAAAAAGAGAAAUAGAAUGCAUGUUUCCUAAAAUGUGCUUUAUGAUAACACUUAAUUUUGUUCAUUACUAUUUAUGUAUAAGAGUUUGAAUGUACUUUCAUAAAAAGCACCUGUUUCAUUUAGUGAUAUAUAUUUUUGUUUUGCUAAAUUGUUCCUUCAGCCCUCCCAGAUUUAGAAAACAAAUCAUCACAAAUACAUUUUUUUAAAUGAAUAAGGAAAAAAAUAAAAAUUCAUUUUCAAUUUACAAAGACUGGGAUUUUUUUUGUCUGCCCUCGUGUUUAGAGUCCCGGAGCUAGUGGACUUAAAACAAAAAAAUAGAGGGUUUAGCGCCUCUUUUCUCGUGACACCCUCAAACAAUCUCUAACAGACAAACACAAUUUAUCUACCCAAGGCAUUGCACAUGGCUCAAUCAACACACAUACAUUUUAUUCAACAACAAUUACUCCCCC